AGCGGAGGAAAAGAAACUAACAAGGAUUCCCCUAGUAACGGGCGAGCGAAGCGGGAAGAGCUCAAAUUUGAAAGCUGGCGUCUUCGGCGUCCGCGUUGUAAUCUCGAGACGUGUUUUCCGUGCGGCUCUAUGGACAAGUCCCUUGGAACAGGGCAUCGUAGAGGGUGAAAAUCCCGUACUUGCCAUGGAAGUACCGUGCUUUGUGAUACACGCUCCAAGAGUCGAGUAGUUUGGGAUUGCUGCUCAAAGUGGGUGGUAGACUCCAUCUAAAGCUAAAUAUCGGGGAGAGACCGAUAGCGAACAAGUACCGUGAGGGAAAGAUGAAAAGCACUUUGGAAAGAGAGUUAAAAGUACGUGAAAUUGUCGAAAGGGAAGCACUUGAAGUCAGCCAUGCUGCUUGAGACUCAGCCUGGCUUUUGCUUGGUGUAUUUCUCGGUAGCAAGCCAGCAUUGGUUUGUGUCGUCGGAGAAGCGUAUGGGGAAUGUGGCAUCCUCGGAUGUGUUAUAGCCCUGUGCAGGAUACGACGGCGUAGACCAAGGAACGCAGUGUGCCCUCUGGGCGGGUCUUCGGACACCUUCACACUUAGGAUGCUGGCGUAAUGGCUUUAAGUGGCCCGUCUUGAAACACGGACCAAGGAGUCUAACAUGUGUGCGAGUUUUUGGGUGGCAAACCCAUGAGCGUAAUGAAAGUGAAUGCAGGUGGGAUCCGCAAGGAGCACCAUCGACCGGCCCUGAUGUUCUCGGAUGGGUCUGCGUAAGAGCAUAUAUGUUGGGACCCGAAAGAUGGUGAACUAUGCCUGAAUAGGGCGAAGCCAGAGGAAACUCUGGUGGAGGCUCGCAGCGGUUCUGACGUGCAAAUCGAUCGUCAAAUUUGGGUAUAGGGGCGAAAGACUAAUCGAACCAUCUAGUAGCUGGUUCCUGCCGAAGUUUCCCUCAG
This 936-nucleotide ribosomal RNA is filed under the name Malassezia cf. restricta HN3127. RNAcentral's name for it is "eukaryotic LSU rRNA". It matches the Rfam family "Eukaryotic large subunit ribosomal RNA", at positions 49 to 976 of the family's 3401-position model. Lineage: Eukaryota; Fungi; Basidiomycota; Malasseziomycetes; Malasseziales; Malasseziaceae. The record is from RNAcentral.